RNAcentral lists this non-coding RNA (27 nucleotides) under Bombyx mori (domestic silkworm). The record is from RNAcentral. Lineage: Eukaryota; Metazoa; Arthropoda; Insecta; Lepidoptera; Bombycidae.
UAUGAAAAUAUCGUUGGCGUUCAGAAA